This 241-nucleotide long non-coding RNA is filed under the name Strongylocentrotus purpuratus (purple sea urchin). Its description in RNAcentral is "uncharacterized LOC105444233". The record is from RNAcentral. Lineage: Eukaryota; Metazoa; Echinodermata; Echinoidea; Camarodonta; Strongylocentrotidae.
UAGAUUCAAAGCAUUCGACUCAACGAACUUUCUAAAAAAUGGCUUCAGUAGUAAAAACUCUGUCCCUUUGCUUGUGCCUCUUUGCAUUUGUUACACUGGAAAUCAAAGCCCAAACCAUCGAUCGCACUUCGGAGUUUCAAGCCCUCUGUGAGAGAUACAGAACAGUGAUGAACGACUGUGAAGAAAGACUUCCCGGGCUAGUGACUGCUGAUGAGCAGGCUUUGCUGAAUUCAGCCGAUAA